Molecule: transfer RNA, 111 nt
Filed under: Alkalihalophilus marmarensis DSM 21297
Lineage: Bacteria; Bacillati; Bacillota; Bacilli; Caryophanales; Bacillaceae
Description: Bacillus marmarensis DSM 21297 tRNA-Ser
Rfam family: tRNA
About the family: Transfer RNA (tRNA) molecules are approximately 80 nucleotides in length. Their secondary structure includes four short double-helical elements and three loops (D, anti-codon, and T loops). Further hydrogen bonds mediate the characteristic L-shaped molecular structure. tRNAs have two regions of fundamental functional importance: the anti-codon, which is responsible for specific mRNA codon recognition, and the 3' end, to which the tRNAs corresponding amino acid is attached (by aminoacyl-tRNA synthetases). tRNAs cope with the degeneracy of the genetic code in two manners: having more than one tRNA (with a specific anti-codon) for a particular amino acid; and 'wobble' base-pairing, i.e. permitting non-standard base-pairing at the 3rd anti-codon position.
Source: RNAcentral
GGAGGAAUACCCAAGUCCGGCUGAAGGGAUCGGUCUUGAAAACCGACAGGCGGGUUAAACCGCGCGGGGGUUCGAAUCCGCGCGGGGGUUCGAAUCCCUCUUCCUCCGCCA